GACGAACGCUGGCGGCGUGCUUAACACAUGCAAGUCGAGCGGAAAGGCCACUUCGGUGGUACUCGAGCGGCGAACGGGUGAGUAACACGUGAGUAAUCUGCCCCUGGCUUUGGGAUAGCCACCGGAAACGGUGAUUAAUACCGGAUACGACCACUUCUCGCAUGGGAUGGUGGUGGAAAGUUUUUUCGGCCAGGGAUGUGCUCGCGGCCUAUCAGCUUGAUGGUGAGGUAAUGGCUCACCAUGGCUUCGACGGGUAGCCGGCCUGAGAGGGUGAGCGGUCACACUGGGACUGAGACACGGCCCAGACUCCAACGGGAGGCAGCAGUGGGGAAUAUUGGACAAGGGGCGGAAGGCUGAUCCAGGAACGCCGCGUGAGGGAUGACGGCCUUCGGGUUGUAAACCUCUUUCAGCAGGGACGAAGCGCAAGUGACGGUACCUGCAGAAGAAGCACCGGCCAACUACGUGCCAGCCGCCGCCGUAA
This 481-nucleotide ribosomal RNA is filed under the name uncultured bacterium. RNAcentral describes it as "partial 16S ribosomal RNA". It matches the Rfam family "Bacterial small subunit ribosomal RNA", at positions 28 to 523 of the family's 1533-position model. The record is from RNAcentral.